GAGCCCGCACAAGCAGUGGAGUAUGUGGUUUAAUUCGAAGCAACGCGAAGAACCUUACCAGAGCUUGACAUCCACAGGAGGCCGAGUAAGAUUGGCUGUGCCCUUCGGGGAACUGUGAGACAGGUGGUGCAUGGUUGUCGUCAGCUCGUGUCGUGAGAUGUUGGGUUAAGUCCCGCAACGAGCGCAACCCUUACUGUUAGUUGCUACGGAAGAGCACUCUAACAGGACUGCCGUUGACAAAACGGAGGAAGGUGGGGAUGACGUCAAAUCAUCAUGCCCCUUACGCCCUGGGCUACACACGUACUACAAUGGCGCAAACAGAGGGGAGCAAAACCGCGAGGUGGAGCAAAUCCCAAAAAUGCGUCCCAGUUCAGAUUGCAGGCUGCAACCCGCCUGCAUGAAGUCGGAAUUGCUAGUAAUCGCGAAUCAGCAUGUCGCGGUGAAUACGUUCCCGGGCUUU
Molecule: ribosomal RNA, 460 nt
Filed under: uncultured bacterium
Lineage: Bacteria
Description: bacterial SSU rRNA
Rfam family: Bacterial small subunit ribosomal RNA
Source: RNAcentral